CUGACGUGCGGCGAGGAAAAAGGGGGCGGUGACCUGGAAGCCAAUGAGCACGCUCGGGCAGGCGGCCCGUCGCCACUGGAGGAAGUACCAGUCCUGAAAUGAAGGGCUUCCGGAAGUUGGUUUAGCCUAACGUAGAAAAGUUUGAGACGGAACUGAAGAGAUGCAAGCCGGGAGUUGUAGUCCCAACCCUUCGCUGUACACUGUUCCACAAGCAACAACUGUUGAUCGAUGACAGCUCUCUCUUCUUUCAAGCCUACUGGUGAUAACUCUUCCAGCUGUUGAAGUCCCUGUGUGCUUUACAAUCCUUUGUUCCCUUAAACCUGACCACACCCUGAAGCAGAUGCCUGGUGCUCCCUCAGCUUAAAGUGGCAGAGACCAGAAUGGAAUCCAGGUCUUCCUCAGCUGCCUCCAGUGUUUUCAGACAUUUCCUAGAAUCUGUCAGAAACCACAGCCUUGUGGUGGAAGUGAAGGAACUGACCUUUGCUACACCAGAACCAACCAGAGCAGCUCAGCUUUUAUCUGCUUCCUUUAUUGGGGUUUGUUGGAAAAGCAGAGCUUUUUGCUUUAUAACUUUGGGUGAAACGCAUUGAUUCUAAGAAAAAAUCUCUCUUUUUAGAAAUCAACUUAGUGGGUCACAUGGACCCCAACACUGUAAUUAAAUUUCUUCCAUCCCGCCUCUGCUUCUCAUUUUCAUUAAAUACACAUUUCUCUCUCUUAGACGAAUAAACAAGAUGUGCUGAAAUCUAUAGAUUGCUAUAAAGCCAACUAAUUAAAAGCACAGUUAAGUCAA
Long non-coding RNA from Talpa occidentalis (Iberian mole), 790 nucleotides. RefSeq lists it as uncharacterized. NCBI's taxonomy places the organism in Eukaryota, Metazoa, Chordata, Mammalia, Eulipotyphla, Talpidae. The record is from RefSeq and is a predicted model, not a curated record. The transcript has 3 exons.